CCAGUAUGUGUGGAGCCGUCCUUGAAAUACCACCCUUGUAGUGUUGAUGUUCUAACGUCGACCCCUAAUCGGGGUUGCGGACAGUGCCUGGUGGGUAGUUUGACUGGGGCGGUCUCCUCCCAAAGAGUAACGGAGGAGCACGAAGGUGGGCUAAUCACGGUUGGACAUCGUGAGGUUAGUGCAAUGGCAUAAGCCCGCUUGACUGCGAGAAUGACAAUUCGAGCAGGUGCGAAAGCAGGUCAUAGUGAUCCGGUGGUUCUGAAUGGAAGGGCCAUCGCUCAACGGAUAAAAGGUACUCCGGGGAUAACAGGCUGAUACCGCCCAAGAGUUCAUAUCGACGGCGGUGUUUGGCACCUCGAUGUCGGCUCAUCACAUCCUGGGGCUGAAGUCGGUCCCAAGGGUAUGGCUGUUCGCCAUUUAAAGUGGUACGCGAGCUGGGUUUAGAACGUCGUGAGACAGUUCGGUCCCUAUCUGCCGUGGGCGUUGGAAGAUUGAAG
RNAcentral lists this ribosomal RNA (497 nucleotides) under Vibrio parahaemolyticus. RNAcentral describes it as "partial 23S ribosomal RNA". It matches the Rfam family "Bacterial large subunit ribosomal RNA", at positions 2171 to 2667 of the family's 2925-position model. The record is from RNAcentral. Lineage: Bacteria; Pseudomonadati; Pseudomonadota; Gammaproteobacteria; Vibrionales; Vibrionaceae.